GAGGAAUAUUGGACAAUGGGCGCAAGCCUGAUCCAGCCAUGCCGCGUGCAGGAUGAAGCAUCUAUGGUGUGUAAACUGCUUUUGUACGAGAAGAAACAUCCCGACGUGUCGGGACUUGACGGUAUCGUAAGAAUAAGGAUCGGCUAACUCCGUGCCGGCAGCCGCGGUAAUACGGAGGAUCCAAGCGUUAUCCGGAAUCAUUGGGUUUAAAGGGUCCGUAGGCGGUCUUAUAAGUCAGUGGUGAAAUCUCCCCGCUCAACGGGGAAACGGCCAUGGAUACUGUAGGACUUGAAUUAUUAGGAAGUAACUAGAAUAUGUAGUGUAGCGGUGAAAUGCUUAGAGAUUACAUGGAAUACCAAUUGCGAAGGCAGGUUACUACUAAUGGAUUGACGCUGAUGGACGAAAGCGUGGGUAGCGAAC
Molecule: ribosomal RNA, 420 nt
Filed under: uncultured bacterium
Lineage: Bacteria
Description: bacterial SSU rRNA
Rfam family: Bacterial small subunit ribosomal RNA
Source: RNAcentral